UCCCCAGUAGCUCAGUUGGCAGAGCAGGUGACUGUUAAUCACCGGGUCGCAUGUUCGAGUCAUGCCUGGGGAGCCA
This 76-nucleotide transfer RNA is filed under the name Anaeromyxobacter dehalogenans 2CP-C. Its description in RNAcentral is "tRNA-Asn (GTT) (tRNA-Asn-GTT-1-1)". It matches the Rfam family "tRNA". Rfam says of the family: Transfer RNA (tRNA) molecules are approximately 80 nucleotides in length. Their secondary structure includes four short double-helical elements and three loops (D, anti-codon, and T loops). Further hydrogen bonds mediate the characteristic L-shaped molecular structure. tRNAs have two regions of fundamental functional importance: the anti-codon, which is responsible for specific mRNA codon recognition, and the 3' end, to which the tRNAs corresponding amino acid is attached (by aminoacyl-tRNA synthetases). tRNAs cope with the degeneracy of the genetic code in two manners: having more than one tRNA (with a specific anti-codon) for a particular amino acid; and 'wobble' base-pairing, i.e. permitting non-standard base-pairing at the 3rd anti-codon position. RNAcentral also lists the same sequence under 11 other names. Lineage: Bacteria; Pseudomonadati; Myxococcota; Myxococcia; Myxococcales; Anaeromyxobacteraceae. The record is from RNAcentral.